RNAcentral lists this ribosomal RNA (2787 nucleotides) under Escherichia coli. Its description in RNAcentral is "bacterial LSU rRNA". It matches the Rfam family "Bacterial large subunit ribosomal RNA". The record is from RNAcentral. Lineage: Bacteria; Pseudomonadati; Pseudomonadota; Gammaproteobacteria; Enterobacterales; Enterobacteriaceae.
AGCGUACACGGUGGAUGCCCUGGCAGUCAGAGGCGAUGAAGGACGUGCUAAUCUGCGAUAAGCGUCGGUAAGGUGAUAUGAACCGUUAUAACCGGCGAUUUCCGAAUGGGGAAACCCAGUGUGUUUCGACACACUAUCAUUAACUGAAUCCAUAGGUUAAUGAGGCGAACCGGGGGAACUGAAACAUCUAAGUACCCCGAGGAAAAGAAAUCAACCGAGAUUCCCCCAGUAGCGGCGAGCGAACGGGGAGCAGCCCAGAGCCUGAAUCAGUGUGUGUGUUAGUGGAAGCGUCUGGAAAGGCGCGCGAUACAGGGUGACAGCCCCGUACACAAAAAUGCACAUGUUGUGAGCUCGAUGAGUAGGGCGGGACACGUGGUAUCCUGUCUGAAUAUGGGGGGACCAUCCUCCAAGGCUAAAUACUCCUGACUGACCGAUAGUGAACCAGUACCGUGAGGGAAAGGCGAAAAGAACCCCGGCGAGGGGAGUGAAAAAGAACCUGAAACCGUGUACGUACAAGCAGUGGGAGCACGCUUCGGCGUGUGACUGCGUACCUUUUGUAUAAUGGGUCAGCGACUUAUAUUCUGUAGCAAGGUUAACCGAAUAGGGGAGCCGAAGGGAAACCGAGUCUUAACUGGGCGUUAAGUUGCAGGGUAUAGACCCGAAACCCGGUGAUCUAGCCAUGGGCAGGUUGAAGGUUGGGUAACACUAACUGGAGGACCGAACCGACUAAUGUUGAAAAAUUAGCGGAUGACUUGUGGCUGGGGGUGAAAGGCCAAUCAAACCGGGAGAUAGCUGGUUCUCCCCGAAAGCUAUUUAGGUAGCGCCUCGUGAAUUCAUCUCCGGGGGUAGAGCACUGUUUCGGCAAGGGGGUCAUCCCGACUUACCAACCCGAUGCAAACUGCGAAUACCGGAGAAUGUUAUCACGGGAGACACACGGCGGGUGCUAACGUCCGUCGUGAAGAGGGAAACAACCCAGACCGCCAGCUAAGGUCCCAAAGUCAUGGUUAAGUGGGAAACGAUGUGGGAAGGCCCAGACAGCCAGGAUGUUGGCUUAGAAGCAGCCAUCAUUUAAAGAAAGCGUAAUAGCUCACUGGUCGAGUCGGCCUGCGCGGAAGAUGUAACGGGGCUAAACCAUGCACCGAAGCUGCGGCAGCGACGCUUAUGCGUUGUUGGGUAGGGGAGCGUUCUGUAAGCCUGCGAAGGUGUGCUGUGAGGCAUGCUGGAGGUAUCAGAAGUGCGAAUGCUGACAUAAGUAACGAUAAAGCGGGUGAAAAGCCCGCUCGCCGGAAGACCAAGGGUUCCUGUCCAACGUUAAUCGGGGCAGGGUGAGUCGACCCCUAAGGCGAGGCCGAAAGGCGUAGUCGAUGGGAAACAGGUUAAUAUUCCUGUACUUGGUGUUACUGCGAAGGGGGGACGGAGAAGGCUAUGUUGGCCGGGCGACGGUUGUCCCGGUUUAAGCGUGUAGGCUGGUUUUCCAGGCAAAUCCGGAAAAUCAAGGCUGAGGCGUGAUGACGAGGCACUACGGUGCUGAAGCAACAAAUGCCCUGCUUCCAGGAAAAGCCUCUAAGCAUCAGGUAACAUCAAAUCGUACCCCAAACCGACACAGGUGGUCAGGUAGAGAAUACCAAGGCGCUUGAGAGAACUCGGGUGAAGGAACUAGGCAAAAUGGUGCCGUAACUUCGGGAGAAGGCACGCUGAUAUGUAGGUGAGGUCCCUCGCGGAUGGAGCUGAAAUCAGUCGAAGAUACCAGCUGGCUGCAACUGUUUAUUAAAAACACAGCACUGUGCAAACACGAAAGUGGACGUAUACGGUGUGACGCCUGCCCGGUGCCGGAAGGUUAAUUGAUGGGGUCAGCGCAAGCGAAGCUCUUGAUCGAAGCCCCGGUAAACGGCGGCCGUAACUAUAACGGUCCUAAGGUAGCGAAAUUCCUUGUCGGGUAAGUUCCGACCUGCACGAAUGGCGUAAUGAUGGCCAGGCUGUCUCCACCCGAGACUCAGUGAAAUUGAACUCGCUGUGAAGAUGCAGUGUACCCGCGGCAAGACGGAAAGACCCCGUGAACCUUUACUAUAGCUUGACACUGAACAUUGAGCCUUGAUGUGUAGGAUAGGUGGGAGGCUUAGAAGUGUGGACGCCAGUCUGCAUGGAGCCGACCUUGAAAUACCACCCUUUAAUGUUUGAUGUUCUAACGUUGACCCGUGAUCCGGGUUGCGGACAGUGUCUGGUGGGUAGUUUGACUGGGGCGGUCUCCUCCUAAAGAGUAACGGAGGAGCACGAAGGUUGGCUAAUCCUGGUCGGACAUCAGGAGGUUAGUGCAAUGGCAUAAGCCAGCUUGACUGCGAGCGUGACGGCGCGAGCAGGUGCGAAAGCAGGUCAUAGUGAUCCGGUGGUUCUGAAUGGAAGGGCCAUCGCUCAACGGAUAAAAGGUACUCCGGGGAUAACAGGCUGAUACCGCCCAAGAGUUCAUAUCGACGGCGGUGUUUGGCACCUCGAUGUCGGCUCAUCACAUCCUGGGGCUGAAGUAGGUCCCAAGGGUAUGGCUGUUCGCCAUUUAAAGUGGUACGCGAGCUGGGUUUAGAACGUCGUGAGACAGUUCGGUCCCUAUCUGCCGUGGGCGCUGGAGAACUGAGGGGGGCUGCUCCUAGUACGAGAGGACCGGAGUGGACGCAUCACUGGUGUUCGGGUUGUCAUGCCAAUGGCACUGCCCGGUAGCUAAAUGCGGAAGAGAUAAGUGCUGAAAGCAUCUAAGCACGAAACUUGCCCCGAGAUGAGUUCUCCCUGACUCCUUGA